UUUUUUUUUUUUUUUUUUUGAGACAGAGUCCUGCUUUGUCGCCAGGCUGGAGUGCAGUGGCCUUAAGGGAGGAGACCACCCCUCAUAUUGUCUUGUGCCCAAUUUCUGCCUCCAAAGAAAGAAGUAAAAACUAAAAGGCCUCCACAGGCAGACAGCCCGGCGCCGCACCCUGGGCCUGGUAGUUAAAGAUGGACCCCUGACCUAACUGGGUCUGUUAUCUAUAGAUUACAGACAUUGUAUAGAAAUGCACUGUGAAAAUCCCUAUCUUGUUUUGUUCUGAUCUAAUUACCGGUGCACGCAGCCCCCAGUCACGUACUCCCUGCUUGCUCAAUCAGUCACGACCCUCUCACAUGCACCCCCUUAGAGUUGUGAGCCCUUAAAAGGGACAGGAAUUGCUCACCCGGGGAACUCGGCUCUUGAGACAGAUGUCUUGCCGAUGCCCCCGCCCGAAUAAACCCCUUCCUUCUGUAACGCGGUGUCUGAGGAGUUCUGUCUGCUGCUCCUCCUGCUACAGCCUGAUCUUGGCUCACUGCAACCUCCGCCUCCUGGGUUCAAGUGAUUCUCCUGCCUCAGCCUCCUGAGUAGCAGGAAUUACAGGUGUGUGCUACCACGCCCAGCUAGUUUUUGAAUUUUUAGUAGAGAUGGGGCUUCACCAUGUGGGUCAGGCUGGUCUGAAACUCCUGACUUCGUGGCCCGCCCUCCUCAGCCUCCCACAGUGCAGGGAUUACAGGCGUGAGCCACCGUGCCUGGUGGAAGUUUUCAUUUUUUAAAGCAUCUCUGGAAAAGUUUCUUGUAAAGCCCGGGCUCUUAGAGCCAGGCUGGCAACCUUUGAUAUGCAAAUGAAGGCCAUUAGAAACUGGGUUCACCCAACAUGGCCAGGUUGGCAACCUUUAAUAUGCAAAUGCAAGCUGUUAGAAAAUGGGUCCACCCAACAUGGUGAUUCCCCCACCUUCAUGGUGAUUCCCCUGCCUUUUUGCUCUUGCCCUACAUGUGCCUGGUAAGAUGGCCGCCCCCACGUGUCCCCAUGUGUGUAGAACAUUAAGGUGCCCUAUAUUUGCAUAUUAAGAGCCUAGGUUGGGAGGGCCAGCGUUUUUGGUGCUACCUGAGUGACAUGUCACGUCAAACCAAUCCCCUGAGCCCUGUGCAAAUCAAGCACUGCCUCCUCUAGCCAUCGCAUAUAACUGGCUGAUAUUACCCGAGCAGGACUUCCCUCUCUCAGCUUUGGAGCCUCCUUCUGUCUGUCUCUGUACAGGAGGGCUUCCUUCUCCCUUCCUUCUUGCCCCUUCUUGCCUAUUAAACUCUCUGCUCCUUAAAACCACUUCAUGUGUGUCUGUAUUGUUUUAUCUAGUUCAACGUGAGACAAGAGCCCUGGUGUUCCUCUGCUCAUCAAAGCCGUAUCAUUUAGAAGAAAAAUUUUUUUAAAAAUUGAACACAUAUGUUGGAUGUGUUUAAGUUCGUUUUUUACAAGUUGAUAUACUACUCAUGCAAGAGAAGAUCUGGACAUUUUGCAGGGGCCUUUAAGGUUUUCAUUUUAAUUUACUACAAAGUUCACAUACUCUAAAGUAAGUCACCAAAACAUGAAACGUAAAUCCAGAAUUUUCUUCACCUGCUAGUCUAGGACAGACAUUAUUAACAUAGAGAAAUAAAUGGGAAAAACAGUGUUAAUUUCAUGGCAUUUCUAAAAAUCGAUUAAAAGUGGAGAAAAGCAACCUCUGUUUCAAACUAGAUUUCGAAUGAGUAAGAAUUACAUGAUGUACCAAAAGCUCUUUUCCAGUAAAGGAGAGGCUUUCUUUUCCUCAUGUUAGGAACACACAGUCUUGUAGAGGGCAAAAUUGAUUGUUUCUUAUGCCCAGGGGCACUGUCCUUUGCAUUUUCUGGAGUUUAAAUAAACUUGAAGUUUAAAAUUCAAGGAGCAUCUCUGAAUGAGCAUCUAAAGUUUAACAUUUUCUCAUUGUGGUUAUUAGAUGGAGCAGCUUAUGAAGACAAAAGCCCAGGCCUGCUUGAGACCCUGGUUUUGAGAUGUGACUAACAAUGCCAGUAGCGAGAAAGCUUAAACAAAACAAAACCUUAAAAUUUAAUUUUGUUUUGUUUUGUUUUUCUAGAUGGAGUCUUGCUCUGUCACCCAGGCUGGAGUGC
Long non-coding RNA from Macaca fascicularis (crab-eating macaque), 2136 nucleotides. Lineage: Eukaryota; Metazoa; Chordata; Mammalia; Primates; Cercopithecidae. The record is from Ensembl.